Molecule: ribosomal RNA, 253 nt
Filed under: uncultured bacterium
Lineage: Bacteria
Description: partial 16S ribosomal RNA
Rfam family: Bacterial small subunit ribosomal RNA
Source: RNAcentral
UACGUAGGGAGCAAGCGUUGUCCGGAAUUAUUGGGCGUAAAGGGUGCGUAGGCGGUUUUGUAAGUCAGAUGUGAAAUCCCCAGGCUUAACUUGGGAGUUGCAUUUGAAACUGCAGGACUUGAGUAAAGAAGAGGUAAGUGGAAUUCCUAGUGUAGCGGUGGAAUGCGUAGAUAUUAGGAGGAACACCAGUGGCGAAGGCGACUUACUGGUCUUUUACAGACGCUGAGGCACGAAAGCGUGGGGAGCGAACAGG